AGAGUUUGAUCCUGGCUCAGGACGAACGCUGGCGGCGUGCCUAAUACAUGCAAGUCGAACGCAAAACUUUUAACUGAUGCUUGCAUCGACCUAAAGUUUUGAGUGGCGGACGGGUGAGUAACACGUGGGUAACCUGCCCAUCAGAGGGGGACAACACUUGGAAACAGGUGCUAAUACCGCAUAAUACAGAGAACCGCAUGGUUCUUUGUUGAAAGGCGCUUCUGGUGUCGCUGAUGGAUGAGCCUGCGGCGCAUUAGCUAGUAGGUAGGGUAACGGCCUACCUAGGCGACGAUACAUAGCCGACCUGAGAGGGUAAUCGGCCACAUUGGGACUGAGACACGGCCCAAACUCCUACGGGAGGCAGCAGUAGGGAAUCUUCGGCAAUGGACGAAAGUCUGACCGAGCAACGCCGCGUGAGUGAAGAAGGUUUUCGGAUCGUAAAACUCUGUUGUUAGAGAAGAACAGGAGCGAUAGUAACUGCUCGCUCUUUGACGGUAUCUAACCAGAAAGCCACGGCUAACUACGUGCCAGCAGCCGCGGUAAUACGUAGGUGGCAAGCGUUGUCCGGAUUUAUUGGGCGUAAAGCGAGCGCAGGCGGUCUUUUAAGUCUGAUGUGAAAGCCCACGGCUUAACCGUGGAGGGUCAUUGGAAACUGGGAGACUUGGGUGCAGAAGAGGAAAGUGGAACUCCAUGUGUAGCGGUGGAAUGCGUAGAUAUAUGGAAGAACAUCAGUGGCGAAGGCGGCUUUCUGGUCUGUAACUGACGCUGAGGCUCGAAAGCGUGGGGAGCAAACAGGAUUAGAUACCCUGGUAGUCCACGCCGUAAACGAUGAGUGCUAAGUGUUGGAGGGUUUCCGCCCUUCAGUGCUGCAGCUAACGCAUUAAGCACUCCGCCUGGGGAGUACGACCGCAAGGUUGAAACUCAAAGGAAUUGACGG
RNAcentral lists this ribosomal RNA (937 nucleotides) under uncultured bacterium. Its description in RNAcentral is "bacterial SSU rRNA". It matches the Rfam family "Bacterial small subunit ribosomal RNA", at positions 8 to 916 of the family's 1533-position model. The record is from RNAcentral.